RNAcentral lists this long non-coding RNA (886 nucleotides) under Gopherus evgoodei (Goodes thornscrub tortoise). RNAcentral describes it as "lncRNA (ENSGEVG00005003049.1)". The record is from RNAcentral. Lineage: Eukaryota; Metazoa; Chordata; Testudines; Testudinidae.
AAAGAAGCAAUCUUCUCUCUAAUCCAGUGGUUUACAAACUAAGGAAAAUAUAAACCGUCUGUUACUAAAAACCUGGGGUUUUAAGCCUAGGGUGCUUCUGCAUAAUUUUUUAUUACAACACAUACAAAAGGGUUGUGUCUUAAGUUUGUCUUUUUAAGCCAUUAUCCCCUUGCAAAACUUAAUGUAACUUUAACAUGUGUUUGUUAAAAAGCUUGGGUCAGAAGCUGCCUUCUUAUCUCUGAUCCACUAACUCACAGAGGCUGCUUUGCUAACAGGCGCUUUGCUUCGUCUUUCUAAUUUACUGGUUUACAAAAUAAGGGGUUUAUAAAUUGUUUGUUACUAUUAACCUGGGGUGCUUCUGCAUAUUUUUUUAUUACAACACAUACAAAAGGGAUGUCUCUUAUUCCUUUGCAAAACUAAGGUAACUUUAACAUGUGUUAAAAAUGGUGUAUUACUAAAAGCUUAAGGUUUUAACUUUUAUAAAAACCCCUUUGUAAAAGGGCUACGUGGCUGGAAAAUGCUGGGGGUCUGUUUCUUUAGAUAAGAAAAAAACAGUUAAAAGGGAGGGGGACAGAGGAGGGGAGGGGGGAAAGGAGGGAGCUGGCUCUUGUUUAAAAUCUUGGGACACUAGGAUUGGUUCAGGAAAAUGAAUUCUAUGACGCUGCUGUAAAACCACCUCUGAUUGGGCCGAUCCAAAGGAAUUGAUAACAAGUGUGAGAGGGUCUGAACCAGAAAAGUUGCCUCAUUCUACAGAAAGACUUCAAAGGGUUAAACCAGAAAAGCUGCCUCAUUUACAAAAAGACUGCAAAGGUUCCGCUCUUUUGUGGAUGAGCUGCAAGCAAGCAAGAGAGAAGACAGCUAAAGCAUUGGUGGCAGGAGUCUCAUG